GGAUCUUCACGUGUGAGAUAUGCUAACUAUCUGCUUGCACAAGUACCAGUAAUCAAGACGGAACUGAGAUGGUGGAGACUGAGUCAGGGUUUGCCCUCUGUGAUUGGUCAGGGCGAACAAAGUCCGCUAUCAACCUGGAGACAGCAUCAGGCUUCUCCACAUGAGGGAUAUGGCCACAUUUUGGUAUUUGGCGUAGAAUUGCAUUUGGAAGUUCACAAUGCAAUCUCACUGCAAGCUUGUUGUCAAUAAUCUGAUCAU
Molecule: unclassified non-coding RNA, 258 nt
Filed under: Hevea brasiliensis (rubber tree)
Lineage: Eukaryota; Viridiplantae; Streptophyta; Magnoliopsida; Malpighiales; Euphorbiaceae
Source: RNAcentral